UAAGGAAUAUUGGUCAAUGGACGCAAGUCUGAACCAGCCAUGCCGCGUGAAGGAUGAAGGUCCUCUGGAUUGUAAACUUCUUUUAUCUGGGACGAAAACGGGAUUUUUAUCUCAAUUGACGGUACCAGAGGAAUAAGCACCGGCUAACUCCGUGCCAGCAGCCGCGGUAAUACGGAGGGUGCGAGCGUUAUCCGGAUUUACUGGGUUUAAAGGGUGCGUAGGUGGGCUUAUAAGUCAGUGGUGAAAUCUCCGAGCUUAACUUGGAAACUGCCGUUGAUACUAUAGGUCUUGAAUUAUCUGGAGGUCAGCGGAAUAGGACAUGUAGCGGUGAAAUGCUUAGACAUGACAUAGAGCACCAAUUGCGAAGGCAGCUUACUACAUAUAAAUUGACGCUGAGGCACGAAAGCGUGGGGAUCAAACA
This 421-nucleotide ribosomal RNA is filed under the name uncultured bacterium. RNAcentral's name for it is "bacterial SSU rRNA". It matches the Rfam family "Bacterial small subunit ribosomal RNA", at positions 355 to 774 of the family's 1533-position model. The record is from RNAcentral.